UCGAUAAGGGAUGAUAACUGGCAGCGUAUGAGUCGUGCAUGAUGAAUGGUGUGUUUCCAGAACCCUGAGGUCCAG
Small nucleolar RNA from Hyaena hyaena (striped hyena), 75 nucleotides. RefSeq annotates it as small nucleolar RNA SNORD113/SNORD114 family. Lineage: Eukaryota; Metazoa; Chordata; Mammalia; Carnivora; Hyaenidae. The transcript has a single exon. The record is from RefSeq and is a predicted model, not a curated record.